RNAcentral lists this ribosomal RNA (941 nucleotides) under Nyholmiella obtusifolia. Its description in RNAcentral is "eukaryotic LSU rRNA". It matches the Rfam family "Eukaryotic large subunit ribosomal RNA", at positions 107 to 1022 of the family's 3401-position model. Lineage: Eukaryota; Viridiplantae; Streptophyta; Bryopsida; Orthotrichales; Orthotrichaceae. The record is from RNAcentral.
GCCUUGAAAAAUCGCGGCGCCGUUCGGCCGCCUUCGAAUUGUAGUCUGGAGAAGGCCCCUCUGCGGCGCGCCGCACCCAAGUGCCCUGGAAAGGGACGUCCGAGAGGGUGAGAACCCCGUCGCGUGCGGAGUGCGCCGCUCCACGAGGGCCUGUCUGCGAGUCGGGCUGUUUGGGAAUGCAGCCCUAAUCGGGUGGUAAAUUCCACCCAAGGCUAAAUAUGGGCAAGAGACCGAUAGCGAACAAGUACCGCGAGGGAAAGAUGAAAAGGACUUUGAAAAGAGAGUUAAAAAGUGCUUGAAAUUGCUGGGAGGGAAGCGAAUGGAAGCUGCGGGUGCGCUCCGGUCGAAUGCGGAACGGUCUUCACCGGCUGGUCCGCCGAUCGACGCGGGGCGCUGGUCAGCGUGGGCCGUCUUGGCGGGACAAGAGCGGGGAUUCGCUUCCCCCCCAUGCCGCCGCGGCGGCCGAGGAACGAAGCGCGCGCCCCUCCGUGGGCGUGGGCCCCCGGGCCCAACUGCGCGCUCGAGACGCUGGCGUAUUGAGCUCUUCAUCCGACCCGUCUUGAAACACGGACCAAGGAGUCUAACAUGUAUGCGAGCCGGUGGGCGGCAAACCCAUGGAGGGCGCAAAGUAACCUGACAGGUGGGACCCCGGCGCCGCGAGCACANGCGGGAGCACCAUCGACCGACCGUGAUCUUCUGUGAAAGGUUCGAGUGGGAGCAUACCUGUUGGGACCCGAAAGAUGGUGAACUAUGCCUGAGCAGGGCGAAGCCAGAGGAAACUCUGGUGGAGGCUCGUAGCGAUACUGACGUGCAAAUCGUUCGUCAGACUUGGGUAUAGGGGCGAAAGACUAAUCGAACCAUCUAGUAGCUGGUUCCCUCCGAAGUUUCCCUCAGGAUAGCUGGAGCUCGCGCAAGAGUUUUAUCAGGUAAAGCGAAUGAUU